GGGGCCGUAGCUCAGUUGGGAGAGCGCAGCGUUCGCAACGCUGAGGUCAGGGGUUCGAUUCCCCUCGGCUCCA
RNAcentral lists this transfer RNA (73 nucleotides) under bacterium. RNAcentral describes it as "tRNA-Ala". It matches the Rfam family "tRNA". From Rfam's summary of the family: Transfer RNA (tRNA) molecules are approximately 80 nucleotides in length. RNAcentral also lists the same sequence under 9 other names. The record is from RNAcentral.